AUGCUGAGGUCUGAUGACGAGUCACUACGGUGAUGAAGUAGCUCAUGCCCCGCUUCCAGGAAAAGCCUCUAAGCUCUAGAUUAUCAUUAAUCGUACCCCAAACCGACACAGGUGGUCAGGUAGAGAAUACUCAGGCGCUUGAGAGAACUCGGGUGAAGGAACUAGGCAAAAUGGUGCCGUAACUUCGGGAGAAGGCACGCUGGCGCUAGGUGAAGUGGUUUACCCAU
Molecule: ribosomal RNA, 227 nt
Filed under: Vibrio parahaemolyticus
Lineage: Bacteria; Pseudomonadati; Pseudomonadota; Gammaproteobacteria; Vibrionales; Vibrionaceae
Description: partial 23S ribosomal RNA
Rfam family: Bacterial large subunit ribosomal RNA
Source: RNAcentral